UCCUGAGUGGUGAAGCUGACUUGAAGCUGAAAGGGCAACUUCUCAAUCGCCUGGACAGCUAAAGGAAUUAAAAGAGAUUCACACAGUCUGAGUCACAAGAGGCCAAGUAACUGGAACAUCACAUCAAACACAAUGUAUGGAACUUAAUUUCACCUCCACCUAUGAAGGGUGACCAGAACUGGACACAGUAAUCCGGAAGAGGCCUCACCUAUGUCCUGAACAAUCCCAACAUCACCUACCUCUCUCCAAUAAACCCAAGUGGAAUAUUCUGUAACAAUGAAGGUGACAGAGGGACAGGAAUAUGAGAUGCCUGAGGUUUUGCUGAUGUCCUUGGAAC
This is a long non-coding RNA of Rhincodon typus (whale shark), 337 nucleotides long. RefSeq lists it as uncharacterized. The transcript has 3 exons. Lineage: Eukaryota; Metazoa; Chordata; Chondrichthyes; Orectolobiformes; Rhincodontidae. The record is from RefSeq and is a predicted model, not a curated record.